CUUCCUUCGGGGACACAAGAUAAAACUGGAACGAUAUAGAGAAGAUUAGCAUGGCCCCUGCGCAAGGAUGACACGCAUGAAUCGAGAAAUGGUCCAAAUUUUU
Molecule: small nuclear RNA, 103 nt
Filed under: Helianthus annuus (common sunflower)
Lineage: Eukaryota; Viridiplantae; Streptophyta; Magnoliopsida; Asterales; Asteraceae
Source: RNAcentral